RNAcentral lists this long non-coding RNA (379 nucleotides) under Gallus gallus (chicken). RNAcentral describes it as "lncRNA (ENSGALG00010018292.1)". The record is from RNAcentral. Lineage: Eukaryota; Metazoa; Chordata; Aves; Galliformes; Phasianidae.
CAUGUCUCACAAACCCGAGUGUCGCUGGAUUUGGAAGUACCCAAUGGGUUCGGGAACAGAUCGAUGGAACCAAAGAUAACUACUGUUGAAUCUCAGUAGCCGCGCUGUUCCCACAGAAUCCUGCAGCGAGCAGCUGAUUCAUCCAGAUGAAGCCUUCAGUGCCAUCCUUUGCAGAUCUGAGAGUCCCGUUGCCUUCUCUGCAGAGCCCUGAGCAAUUAGAGCUUGGCCAUGUGAUCUGCAUUUCUGGAUGCUACCUUGAACACCACUGAUGCAAGCCUUGCUCAGACAGAAGCCCUGCUGUGUCCAUGAGCAGCCCUGAAAGAGACAGGACACCAUUUCUGAUCAGUCUUACAGGGAAUGGUCUUAUCAGAGUUCUUCA